GUGGUGGCUCAGUGGUACAGCACUUGCCUGGCAUGUGUGAGGCCCUGGGUUAGAUCCUCAGCACCACA
RNAcentral lists this transfer RNA (68 nucleotides) under Marmota marmota marmota (Alpine marmot). It matches the Rfam family "tRNA". From Rfam's summary of the family: Transfer RNA (tRNA) molecules are approximately 80 nucleotides in length. Their secondary structure includes four short double-helical elements and three loops (D, anti-codon, and T loops). Lineage: Eukaryota; Metazoa; Chordata; Mammalia; Rodentia; Sciuridae. The record is from Rfam by way of RNAcentral. RNAcentral also lists the same sequence under 1 other name.